This 247-nucleotide ribosomal RNA is filed under the name uncultured bacterium. Its description in RNAcentral is "partial 16S ribosomal RNA". It matches the Rfam family "Bacterial small subunit ribosomal RNA", at positions 523 to 769 of the family's 1533-position model. The record is from RNAcentral.
AUACGUAGGGGGCAAGCGUUGUCCGGAAUCACUGGGCGUAAAGGGCGCGUAGGCGGUAUAUUAAGUCAGGUGUGAAAGUUUUCGGCUCAACCGGAAAAGUGCACUUGAAACUAAUUUACUUGAGUACUGGAGAGGUAAGCGGAAUUCCUAGUGUAGCGGUGAAAUGCGUAGAUAUUAGGAAGAACACCGGUGGCGAAGGCGGCUUACUGGACAGAGACUGACGCUGAGGCGCGAAAGCGUGGGGAGC